AAGGGGAGGCUGCGCGGGGGGGCCCAGCUCCUGCUGAACAGGAAGGGGAGGCUGCGCGGCGGGGACUUGGGGCCCCGCACGGGCUUGGACAGCGCGUACAGGUGCCGGAACUCCUCGUCGAACAGCUCCACGACCUGGCCCGUGAACUUGGAGAGGAGGUUGCGGUGAACCUGGCCACACAACCACGUGAAGCUGGAAGCAGAGACAAGACAAUGGAGUACUUAAAACUAUCAUCACCUGAGAGGUGACAUGGGAUUAGAGAGUCUUCUAAAGAAGGGGAUGGAGCCCAUCAAGUAACUACUGUCUAAUACUCCCUAAGAAUAGUUCACCCAGUACCAACUUAGAGAGAAAAAAUAAAUCAACUCAGAAGAACGGGGGUGCUGUCCACAUAAUAUGGAGCCAGAUGCUGAAAUGUGCAGAAUAAGCUGUAAGAGGAAGAUUUUUCCAGGAAGUAGGACAUCAAGAUUUCGAAGAUCUGCUACUCUUGGAUUUACUGCCUAACACUAAGCAAGGCAAUCAUUUUGUAUUAUCACUUGGAUGUAAAUUCACAGUUAAACUAAACACCUAAAACUGUGCAGGAUAUUGGCAGGCUGAUUAAAGACUGCAGAGCACUUGCAGAAUGCUCUGACCAUGGUUAUACAAAAUGCUGAUAGCUCUCUGAGAUGCAGAAUAUGCUACUCAGCACUUGCAUGGGGCUGUGGGGGCAUGUUACAAAGUCUGAGUGAACACCAGAAGGAGAGUCAUACAUCCAUGGUGCAGACUAGAGAUAGAACUAAUUGCACCUCACUGUUAAGCCUAUUCUUUUUUUCAAUAAAAGGACCAUAAAAAUGAAACUAGAAAGAUAAGAUAUUUUAAAUUAUAAUUAAAAUCUAAUGAUGUGAGGGGGGGGGGGUU
This is a long non-coding RNA of Corvus hawaiiensis (hawaiian crow), 894 nucleotides long. RefSeq lists it as uncharacterized. The record is from RefSeq and is a predicted model, not a curated record. Lineage: Eukaryota; Metazoa; Chordata; Aves; Passeriformes; Corvidae. The transcript has 4 exons.